CAGACUCGGUGUAGGUUAGCGGGUUAUAAGUAUGACAACCUCAUUCGCCAGAAUUAUACCAUCCUUUUCUUUUCUUUCUCAUUUAUAUAUAAAAUGUCAAAAUUAUUCCUUAGUUAUAUUGAUAAGCCAAAGAUAUUUGACGAAAAGUUAUUGAUUUCUAUCUUUUUCCAUUUACCCUCUUUUUUGUCUAACUUCAGGUUCAAGGAUGGGGGAAGACGUUCGUGCUAGGGGUGCACAAACCUGGAGCAGAGUUGAAAUUCAGUUCAUUUGAAGUUUUUGAUUCUGUGAAAACUUUAACAGGAAUAGCUAUAUAUAUAAUUCUUGAGGAUGCAGAGUUGUGUUUUUUUAGGUGCAUAAUAAUAGAUAAAUACAUGUUUAAUAUACUCUUUUAAAUUUAGAUGUAACCAUAUUUGUUAAAUAGUUUUGAUUUUUGUUUUGAUAAAAUAUUUUGUGUUCAAUGUUACAUUUACUACGAU
This 476-nucleotide long non-coding RNA is filed under the name Olea europaea subsp. europaea. Lineage: Eukaryota; Viridiplantae; Streptophyta; Magnoliopsida; Lamiales; Oleaceae. The record is from RNAcentral.